UUCUUAUCCAGAGAGGUGGAGGGACUGGCCCUGUGAAACCUCGGCAACGGACAUUUGAACCGUGCCAACUCCAACAAGCAGUGCUUGAUAGAUAAGAA
RNAcentral lists this non-coding RNA (98 nucleotides) under Bacillus sp. (in: firmicutes). RNAcentral's name for it is "Bacillus sp. SAM-I sequence". It matches the Rfam family "SAM riboswitch aptamer (S box leader)". Rfam says of the family: The SAM riboswitch is found upstream of a number of genes which code for proteins involved in methionine or cysteine biosynthesis in Gram-positive bacteria. The SAM riboswitch acts at the level of transcription termination control. The predicted structure consists of a complex stem-loop region followed by a single stem loop terminator region. RNAcentral also lists the same sequence under 1 other name. The record is from RNAcentral. Lineage: Bacteria; Bacillati; Bacillota; Bacilli; Caryophanales; Bacillaceae.